This 423-nucleotide ribosomal RNA is filed under the name uncultured bacterium. RNAcentral describes it as "partial 16S ribosomal RNA". It matches the Rfam family "Bacterial small subunit ribosomal RNA", at positions 360 to 775 of the family's 1533-position model. The record is from RNAcentral.
AAUUUUGGACAAUGGGGGAAACCCUGAUCCAGCCAUCCCGCGUGUAUGAUGAAGGCCUUCGGGUUGUAAAGUACUUUUGGCAGAGAAGAAAAGGUAUCCCCUAAUACGGGAUACUGCUGACGGUAUCUGCAGAAUAAGCACCGGCUAACUACGUGCCAGCAGCCGCGGUAAUACGUAGGGUGCAAGCGUUAAUCGGAAUUACUUGGCGUAAAGCGGGGGUAGGCGGUUCGGAAAAAAAGAAUUGAAAUCCCAGGGCUCAAACCUGGAACUGCCUUUUUAACUGGCGAGCUAGAGUAAGUCAGAGGGGGGUAGAAUUCCACGUGUAGCAGUGAAAUGCGUAGAUAUGUGGAGGAAAACCGAUGGCGAAGGCAGCCCCCCGGGAUAAUACCGACCCCCAGAAACGAAAGCGUGGGGAGCAAACAG